This 73-nucleotide transfer RNA is filed under the name Danio rerio (zebrafish). It matches the Rfam family "tRNA". Rfam says of the family: Transfer RNA (tRNA) molecules are approximately 80 nucleotides in length. Their secondary structure includes four short double-helical elements and three loops (D, anti-codon, and T loops). Further hydrogen bonds mediate the characteristic L-shaped molecular structure. tRNAs have two regions of fundamental functional importance: the anti-codon, which is responsible for specific mRNA codon recognition, and the 3' end, to which the tRNAs corresponding amino acid is attached (by aminoacyl-tRNA synthetases). tRNAs cope with the degeneracy of the genetic code in two manners: having more than one tRNA (with a specific anti-codon) for a particular amino acid; and 'wobble' base-pairing, i.e. permitting non-standard base-pairing at the 3rd anti-codon position. Lineage: Eukaryota; Metazoa; Chordata; Actinopteri; Cypriniformes; Danionidae. The record is from Rfam by way of RNAcentral.
GCUCAGCUAGUUCAGUCUGUAGAGCAUGAGACCCUUAAUCUCAGGGUCGUGGGUUCGAGCCCCACAUUGGGCA